Molecule: non-coding RNA, 116 nt
Organism: Poecilia reticulata (guppy)
Lineage: Eukaryota; Metazoa; Chordata; Actinopteri; Cyprinodontiformes; Poeciliidae
Source: RefSeq, a predicted model, not a curated record
GGUCCUCCCCCGGUCCCAAAACUCUCCCCAAGCAGUUGCCUCGAGACCUGCCAGACGAACCUUGGAUUAGAUUUCACAUUUGUUCGCAUUCACUGUAAAUAAAUCACAUCAUUGUA